GAGCCGGUUCGUUCAGGCGGAUCGAGCCGGCCUCCGACGUCGGCGCCACCGGUUCGAGCCGGACCCGCGCA
RNAcentral lists this transfer RNA (71 nucleotides) under Mycolicibacterium madagascariense. Its description in RNAcentral is "tRNA-Arg". The record is from RNAcentral. Lineage: Bacteria; Bacillati; Actinomycetota; Actinomycetes; Mycobacteriales; Mycobacteriaceae.